This 445-nucleotide ribosomal RNA is filed under the name uncultured Cellulomonas sp. RNAcentral describes it as "bacterial SSU rRNA". It matches the Rfam family "Bacterial small subunit ribosomal RNA", at positions 338 to 795 of the family's 1533-position model. The record is from RNAcentral. Lineage: Bacteria; Bacillati; Actinomycetota; Actinomycetes; Micrococcales; Cellulomonadaceae.
CCUACGGGAGGCAGCAGUGGGGAAUAUUGCACAAUGGGCGCAAGCCUGAUGCAGCGACGCCGCGUGAGGGAUGAAGGCCUUCGGGUUGUAAACCUCUUUCAGCAGGGAAGAAGCGCAAGUGACGGUACCUGCAGAAGAAGCGCCGGCUAACUACGUGCCAGCAGCCGCGGUAAUACGUAGGGCGCAAGCGUUGUCCGGAAUUAUUGGGCGUAAAGAGCUCGGAGGCGGUUUGUCGCGUCUGCUGUGAAAACUCGAGGCUCAACCUCGGGCUUGCAGUGGGUACGGGCAGACUAGAGUGCGGUAGGGGAGACUGGAAUUCCUGGUGUAGCGGUGGAAUGCGCAGAUAUCAGGAGGAACACCGAUGGCGAAGGCAGGUCUCUGGGCCGCAACUGACGCUGAGGAGCGAAAGCAUGGGGAGCGAACAGGAUUAGAUACCCUGGUAGUC